Molecule: long non-coding RNA, 579 nt
Filed under: Homo sapiens (human)
Lineage: Eukaryota; Metazoa; Chordata; Mammalia; Primates; Hominidae
Description: non-protein coding lnc-PARL-1:1
Source: RNAcentral
GUGCUCUAUGGUGUUGCCUUCGCCCCGGAAGUAGUUGCGCAGCUGGGGUUUAACUUCUUUAUUCAACAAAAAUGCGGAUUCAGAAAAGCACCCAGGAAGGUUGAACCUCGAAGAUCAGACCCAGGGACAAGUGGUGAAGCAUACAAGAGAAGUGCUUUGAUUCCUCCUGUGGAAGAAACAGUCUUUUAUCCUUCUCCCUAUCCUAUAAGGAGUCUCAUAAAACCUUUAUUUUUUACUGUUGGGUUUACAGGCUGUGCAUUUGGAUCAGCUGCUAUUUGGCAAUAUGAAUCACUGAAAUCCAGGGUCCAGAGUUAUUUUGAUGGUAUAAAAGCUGAUUGGUUGGAUAGCAUAAGACCACAAAAAGAAGGAGACUUCAGAAAGGAGAUUAACAAGUGGUGGAAUAACCUAAGUGAUGGCCAGCGGACUGUGACAGGUUUGUGUUAGCUUACACGUUUUAACCAUUCAAGGGAAGAGAAAUCAAACCAAAAGGUACAGUAUGUCACAAGCAAUGGCUCUUGUACCAUGCUCACCAGUGGUUUAGAAGACAGUCUCUGUACUGAUAGGCUAAUGUAAUAGUAU